UACAGAGGGUGCAAGCGUUAAUCGGAGUUACUGGGCGUAAAGGGCGCGUAGGCGGUUGAUUAAGUUAGAUGUGAAAGCCCUGGGCUUAACCUAGGAACUGCAUUUAAUACUGAUUGACUAGAAUAUUGUAGAGGGUAGUGGAAUUUCCGGUGUAGCGGUGAAAUGCGUAGAGAUCGGAAGGAACACCAGUGGCGAAGGCGGCUACCUGGACAACUAUUGACGCUGAGGCGCGAAAGCGUGGGGAGCAAACAGG
This 253-nucleotide ribosomal RNA is filed under the name uncultured bacterium. RNAcentral describes it as "partial 16S ribosomal RNA". It matches the Rfam family "Bacterial small subunit ribosomal RNA", at positions 524 to 776 of the family's 1533-position model. The record is from RNAcentral.